RNA transcript from Olea europaea var. sylvestris, 1695 nucleotides. It is a transcript of the gene named zinc finger CCCH domain-containing protein 62-like, with no coding region annotated. The record is from RefSeq and is a predicted model, not a curated record. The transcript has 8 exons. Lineage: Eukaryota; Viridiplantae; Streptophyta; Magnoliopsida; Lamiales; Oleaceae.
GAUUUCACGAGGAUUUGUUGCAUUACAUCUCCUCUCGUCACAUUUGGAAAUUCAUUUCUUCCAAUUAUUUUUAAUUCAUUGCCGCAAUUGAAUCGAUACCUUUCAUCAUUGAAUUUAACAUGAAAUCCUUAAAAAAACGCACUUUGUUGAAAUCUCUUCGUCUGAGUCCGAAAACGCUGUAGAUGCUGUUGAGAAGAUCAGUUCUUCGAAUUCUAGUGAGGAUGAUGAUGACGAUGACGAUGAUGAUUGGAGUGAAUGGAAGGAAUCAGAGUAUGAAGAAACAGAAGAAGUAGAAGAUAAUGAGACCCAUGUUCAAGAAAAUGAUGAAUCCAUGUUUAAUAAAAGGGAAAUGAUCUUCAAGAGUUGAACUUAGUCGAAUGUAAAGCAUAUUUAAGAAGGCAUGGAUUGAGAUUAUCCGGAACCAAAGCCGAGUGCAUAGAGAGAAUUAAGGAGCACUGGAGGAUAAAAGAUAGAAAUUGUGAAGCCUUGUAUCCAAGAUCUUCAUUUACCAUUGAUUGCAGUGGUGACGUAUGCAAGGGAGAUGUUGUUUUGUUCAAUCAGAAAGUAUAUGAGAAGUAUUGCUGAUAAACUCACUCAUUUUACAAAAUAUAUAAAAUUUGAUUUUCCACUGUAUUUCUUCUUGAAUGGACGAUAUUGUUUUUGAACCGUUUUGACAAAAUGACGAGGCGUGGAAGCCCUCUUGGGAGAAGGACUGUAAAAGAAAAUUACGGUGCUGGUAAACAAUAAUACACCUUCACAGUUGAAGUGCUAUGGAGCAUGGGAGCCAAGAAACUACCUACACUUUUCUCUUUGCUUGUGAAGGGCAGAAACCUCUACAAAUUGAGGACAUUUAAACAGCGCUGGAAUAAUGAAAAAGAAAGGUUGAAUGUACUUGCUGAGAAGCAUAAACGAGGAGCAGCAGCAAGAAGCUUAAGAGCUAUGAGAAAGGCAAAAGCAGAAAAGAAGACAAAUAAAUCUUGUACAAACAUAGGUAAGAAGAGCCACAAGCUUUUUGAUCACGCAGCGACAUCUGGAACAGAAGUGACGGGUAAUAAUAUGCAGAUGAACAAUGUCAAUGAACCACCGAAUCCUUUGAGGGGAAACCUUAAAUUCAAUUUUUCACCAAAGGCCAUCCUCGUUCCAAGCAUUAAAUUCAAAACAGAAGGGAGAUUUCAGAAUUCCCGAAUUUAACUUCAAACAUCGAAAUUUAAUCCAACCAAUCGAGUUCAAGAAACCCCACUUUUGCCAUAUACUUGUCAUCCUUCCCAAGACUUUCACCACUUCAACUCAGACCUUUACAACCGAAGAUGGUAUUGUCACUUCCCUUCUUAUAGAGGUUCUGUAUCUGCAGUCGGAUUGCCCCAUUGCCACCCCUUCUCCCAUUCUGUUUUGGCACCUGCUUCAGAAUCUCAAGAAUUUGCCCAUGGCAGGUACUUUUACCACAUUCGUCUACGUCAAAAUCGUGUAUAUGAAUCAAGAAAGUUUGAUCAUUUCGCCCAAGCACCAUCUUAUCUGUCACCUACUGAUACAUAUAGGCAGGGAUAGCAGCAUAUAAACCUCUGCAUUUUUUCCUGAUUUUUGGUAACAGCAGUCAGAUUAUUGUUGUUAUCUUACAUAUGAACCAGUUUGUCACUUGAUCUACCACACAUAUUUGGAGUAGCUAAAUGGACAUGGAAAUGCAAUUACAGGGUUUUA